This is a small nucleolar RNA of Tachyglossus aculeatus (Australian echidna), 138 nucleotides long. The record is from RefSeq and is a predicted model, not a curated record. Lineage: Eukaryota; Metazoa; Chordata; Mammalia; Monotremata; Tachyglossidae.
CCCCUCUCAGGGUCAUACCUGGGGAGUUUCCAGUACUCUACCAGUCCCGACUGCGGGAGGAAGAGUCAAGCAGAGACCCACCCAUUCCAUUCUUAGCUUGGGCAAUGGCUAGCAAGUGGAAGGCAAUCUGCUACAAGU